This 253-nucleotide ribosomal RNA is filed under the name uncultured bacterium. Its description in RNAcentral is "partial 16S ribosomal RNA". It matches the Rfam family "Bacterial small subunit ribosomal RNA", at positions 524 to 776 of the family's 1533-position model. The record is from RNAcentral.
UACGUAGGUGGCGAGCGUUAUCCGGAAUUACUGGGUGUAAAGGGAGCGUAGACGGUAAUGUAAGUCUGGAGUGAAAGGCGGGGGCCCAACCCCCGGACUGCUCUGGAAACUAUGUUACUAGUGUGCAGGAGAGGUAAGCGGAAUUCCUAGUGUAGCGGUGAAAUGCGUAGAUAUUAGGAGGAACACCAGUGGCGAAGGCGGCUUACUGGACUGUAACUGACGUUGAGGCUCGAAAGCGUGGGGAGCAAACAGG